This 353-nucleotide long non-coding RNA is filed under the name Carica papaya (papaya). RNAcentral describes it as "long non-coding RNA (CPAP_LNC001112)". Lineage: Eukaryota; Viridiplantae; Streptophyta; Magnoliopsida; Brassicales; Caricaceae. The record is from RNAcentral.
AAACCAUCCCUUAUAUCAUGAGGUUUAGGAUUCUUAUGAGAUUUAGAGGCAAAAGAAAUUAGGUAAUACACAUCUCAUGAGAUGUUUUGGAACUUCCUCUAAAACAUCUGCAGAUGUGAAGAAGUAGGAUUAUAGUUCCAAAAGCCUAAAAAGAUAGAAGUUACAAGGACUGGAAUAUAAUAAAUCUAGAGAUCAAAGAAUUAGGGCUUCACUCCAAAGCCAAUUGGAGAUGGUAAAUAAGCAACAUCCUUAAUGUAUUAUGGUACAGGAAACUAUAGAAAGCUUAAAUACUACCGAAGAUAUUACCUACUAGGGGCAUGUGAAUAAAUUUUUGUAAAAGACCAUGAAUUUCC